AGUGAACGCUGGCGGUAGGCCUAACACAUGCAAGUCGAACGGCAGCACAGUAAGAGCUUGCUCUUACGGGUGGCGAGUGGCGGACGGGUGAGGAAUAUAUCGGAAUCUACUUUUUCGUGGGGGAUAACGUAGGGAAACUUACGCUAAUACCGCAUACGACCUACGGGUGAAAGCAGGGGAUCUUCGGACCUUGCGCGAUUGAAUGAGCCGAUGUCGGAUUAGCUAGUUGGCGGGGUAAAGGCCCACCAAGGCGACGAUCCGUAGCUGGUCUGAGAGGAUGAUCAGCCACACUGGAACUGAGACACGGUCCAGACUCCUACGGGAGGCAGCAGUGGGGAAUAUUGGACAAUGGGCGCAAGCCUGAUCCAGCCAUACCGCGUGGGUGAAGAAGGCCUUCGGGUUGUAAAGCCCUUUUGUUGGGAAAGAAAAGCAGCAGGUUAAUACCCCGCUGUUCUGACGGUACCCAAAGAAUAAGCACCGGCGAACUUCGUG
RNAcentral lists this ribosomal RNA (492 nucleotides) under uncultured bacterium. Its description in RNAcentral is "partial 16S ribosomal RNA". It matches the Rfam family "Bacterial small subunit ribosomal RNA", at positions 29 to 507 of the family's 1533-position model. The record is from RNAcentral.